GGCGGUGAUGGUGUAGGGGUUAAGCGUGCGACCAUGUAGGAGGCUACAGUCCUCAAAGCGGCUGUCCAGGGUUCGAGUCCUGGACCCGCCG
Characodon lateralis is the source of this 91-nucleotide non-coding RNA. The record is from the annotation of a GenBank genome assembly. NCBI's taxonomy places the organism in Eukaryota, Metazoa, Chordata, Actinopteri, Cyprinodontiformes, Goodeidae.